UGCAGUCGAACGAUGAACCACUUCGGUGGGGAUUAGUGGCGAACGGGUGAGUAACACGUGGGCAAUCUGCCCUUCACUCUGGGACAAGCCCUGGAAACGGGGUCUAAUACCGGAUAACACUGCGGAUCGCAUGGUCUGCGGUUGAAAGCUCCGGCGGUGAAGGAUGAGCCCGCGGCCUAUCAGCUUGUUGGUGGGGUGAUGGCCUACCAAGGCGACGACGGGUAGCCGGCCUGAGAGGGCGACCGGCCACACUGGGACUGAGACACGGCCCAGACUCCUACGGGAGGCAGCAGUGGGGAAUAUUGCACAAUGGGCGAAAGCCUGAUGCAGCGACGCCGCGUGAGGGAUGACGGCCUUCGGGUUGUAAACCUCUUUCAGCAGGGAAGAAGCGAAAGUGACGGUACCUGCAGAAGAAGCGCCGGCUAACUACGUGCCAGCAGCCGCGGUAAUACGUAGGGCGCAAGCGUUGUCCGGAAUUAUUGGGCGUAAAGAGCUCGUAGGCGGCUUGUCGCGUCGGAUGUGAAAGCCCGGGGCUUAACCCCGGGUCUGCAUUCGAUACGGGCAGGCUAGAGUGUGGUAGGGGAGAUCGGAAUUCCUGGUGUAGCGGUGAAAUGCGCAGAUAUCAGGAGGAACACCGGUGGCGAAGGCGGAUCUCUGGGCCAUUACUGACGCUAAGGAGCGAAAGCGUGGGGAGCGAACAGGAUUAGAUACCCUGGUAGUCCACGCCGUAAACGUUGGGAACUAGGUGUUGGCGACAUUCCACGUCGUCGGUGCCGCAGCUAACGCAUUAAGUUCCCCGCC
Molecule: ribosomal RNA, 801 nt
Filed under: Streptomyces ostreogriseus
Lineage: Bacteria; Bacillati; Actinomycetota; Actinomycetes; Kitasatosporales; Streptomycetaceae
Description: bacterial SSU rRNA
Rfam family: Bacterial small subunit ribosomal RNA
Source: RNAcentral